RNAcentral lists this ribosomal RNA (403 nucleotides) under uncultured prokaryote. RNAcentral describes it as "bacterial SSU rRNA". It matches the Rfam family "Bacterial small subunit ribosomal RNA", at positions 355 to 774 of the family's 1533-position model. The record is from RNAcentral.
UAGGGAAUAUUGGACAAUGGGCGAAAGCCUGAUCCAGCAACGCCGCGUGUGCGAAGACGGCCUUCUGGUUGUAAAGCACUUUUAGAGGAGAUGAGAAAGGACAGUAUCCUCUGAAUAAGCCUCGGCGAACUACGUGCCAGCAGCCGCGGUAAAACGUAGGAGGCUAGCGUUAUCCGGAUUUAUUGGGCGUAAAGCGCGUGCAGGCGGUCUAUCAAGUUGGAUGAGAAAGCUCCUGGCUUAACUGGGAGAGGUCGUUCAAAACUGAUAGUCUAGAGAAUGGUAGAGGGAGGUGGAAUUCCGGGUGUAGUGGUGAAAUGCGUAGAUAUCCGGAGGAACACCAGUGGCGAAAGCGGCCUCCUGGGCCAUUUCUGACGCUAAGAUGCGAAAGCUAGGGUAGCAAACG